RNAcentral lists this ribosomal RNA (900 nucleotides) under Bacillus sp. (in: firmicutes). Its description in RNAcentral is "bacterial SSU rRNA". It matches the Rfam family "Bacterial small subunit ribosomal RNA", at positions 51 to 935 of the family's 1533-position model. The record is from RNAcentral. Lineage: Bacteria; Bacillati; Bacillota; Bacilli; Caryophanales; Bacillaceae.
AUACUGCAGUCGAGCGGACAGAUGGGAGCUUGCUCCCUGAUGUUAGCGGCGGACGGGUGAGUAACACGUGGGUAACCUGCCUGUAAGACUGGGAUAACUCCGGGAAACCGGGGCUAAUACCGGAUGCUUGUUUGAACCGCAGGUUCAAACAUAAAAGGUGGCUUCGGCUACCACUUACAGAUGGACCCGCGGCGCAUUAGCUAGUUGGUGAGGUAACGGCUCACCAAGGCAACGAUGCGUAGCCGACCUGAGAGGGUGAUCGGCCACACUGGGACUGAGACACGGCCCAGACUCCUACGGGAGGCAGCAGUAGGGAAUCUUCCGCAAUGGACGAAAGUCUGACGGAGCAACGCCGCGUGAGUGAUGAAGGUUUUCGGAUCGUAAAGCUCUGUUGUUAGGGAAGAACAAGUGCCGUUCAAAUAGGGCGGCACCUUGACGGUACCUAACCAGAAAGCCACGGCUAACUACGUGCCAGCAGCCGCGGUAAUACGUAGGUGGCAAGCGUUGUCCGGAAUUAUUGGGCGUAAAGGGCUCGCAGGCGGUUUCUUAAGUCUGAUGUGAAAGCCCCCGGCUCAACCGGGGAGGGUCAUUGGAAACUGGGGAACUUGAGUGCAGAAGAGGAGAGUGGAAUUCCACGUGUAGCGGUGAAAUGCGUAGAGAUGUGGAGGAACACCAGUGGCGAAGGCGACUCUCUGGUCUGUAACUGACGCUGAGGAGCGAAAGCGUGGGGAGCGAACAGGAUUAGAUACCCUGGUAGUCCACGCCGUAAACGAUGAGUGCUAAGUGUUAGGGGGUUUCCGCCCCUUAGUGCUGCAGCUAACGCAUUAAGCACUCCGCCUGGGGAGUACGGUCGCAAGACUGAAACUCAAAGGAAUUGACGGGGGCCCGCACAAGCGGUGG